Molecule: ribosomal RNA, 468 nt
Filed under: uncultured bacterium
Lineage: Bacteria
Description: partial 16S ribosomal RNA
Rfam family: Bacterial small subunit ribosomal RNA
Source: RNAcentral
GACGAACGCUGGCGGCGUGCUUAACACAUGCAAGUCGAACGGACAGGCCCUGCUUUUGCGGGGUGCUCGAGUGGCGAACGGGUGAGUAACACGUGAGUAACCUGCCCUUGACUUUGGGAUAACUUCAGGAAACUGGGGCUAAUACCGGAUAGGAGCUCCUGCUGCACGGUGGGGGUUGGAAAGUUUCGGCGGUUGGGGAUGGACUCGCGGCUUAUCCGCUUGUUGGUGGGGUAGUGGCUUACCAAGGCUUUGACGGGUAGCCGGCCUGAGAGGGUGACCGGCCACAUUGGGACUGAGAUACGGCCCAGACGCCUACGGGAGGCAGCAGUGGGGAAUAUUGCACAAUGGGCGGAAGCCUGAUGCAGCAACGCCGCGUGCGGGAUGACGGCCUUCGGGUUGUAAACCGCUGUCGCCGGUGACGAAGCGUGAGUGACGGUAAUGGGUAAAGAAGCACCGGCUAACUACGUG